UAAAGAAUAAAAUGUUUUAAUGUAGGAUUUCAUAUAGGCAAAGGAAAGGCACAGGAGAAAGAGCUAAAUUCAUCACUUGAUAGGUCCAUGCUGGACAUCAUCCAAGAUGCAGUAAACCGCGCUUACAUUAAAAAAAAAAGAAAAAAGAAAAAAAAAAAAAAACACCUUGUAAUAGCACUUUCUUAUCUCCGUGGCAAACACACAAAACAGAUAGCAAAAAGCGGAGGCUCUGAUUUACCGAAACGUGCAUAUAAUAUAUUGUCUACCUGUCCUGGUUAUUUCUUCAUUAAACCUAGAAACUGUUUUUUCUUAAUUACCUACAGCAUGUAUUUGCCUACAUAUUUAUUUUCUCAAUUGACUACUGAGUUCCUCGAAUAAAGGAGACCUUAUUCAUCCUCAGUACCUAGCAUAAUAUAUGAAUGAAUAAAUGAACAAAUGACUGUGAAAAUCCAAAGAUCCAACAGGAACAAUUUGAGAUUAGAAUUUUCAGUACGAAAUGCUUAACAUGGUGUUGAUGGAUUAACAGAAAUCUCCAGUGCCUAAAUUUUCCCCAACCUGAAAGAAAACUAAGCCUAUAUUUUUUCCAAAGAAGACCUCUCAAAAGAGUUGAGGUAAUGAAGAUGAGAGCUGCUAGAACUACAAGAAUAUACGCAAGUCAUCAAACCACAAGGAGGAUAAGCUUUAUACAUCUAUAAAUAGUGGACAAAUAUUGAAUAUUCAAUUAUUCCUUAUCUGCAUGAUAUCAGCACUGUGUUUGUGUUUGAGAAGACUUGAUCAUACUAACGCACCUUCAGUAAGACAACACUCUAGAAUAGAAAAUAUAGUUGAGUCCAUGGUCUUCUUCAUGAUUUAGUAGAAAUGUUCUUUUCUUAUCUACACUCAGCUUUUCUUCCUUGAUUGCUUGACCCUUUGCAAAAUUCCACUCUCUAGACUCAAAUAGUAUAGAGGCCUUUCCAAGUCCUUCUUUUAUUUUUAAAAUUUUCCUAUUUAUUAAAGUAGGUGCAUAGUUUAAGACUAGAUGAAAAGAUACAGAAACAUCUUAGCGAUAUAAAUGACAUGUCAUCUCAGGUUCUGUCCCAUAACAGGACUAUGUGCUGUAUUGUACAAAUACAAUCUAUAGAAUAAGGAAAAUCAUUGAGUAUUUUUGGUACUCUAUCUGAAGCAGCAUAGAGAAAAUGAGAGAGAUAAGAAGGAGACAAAGGAGGAGGCUUUUAACACAGGCAUGGGAGAGUUUCAUAGGGGUGCAGCACCUCUCAACAAGAACAAAGACGUGGAGGAGUUCGGGAGGAACAAAACGACAUAUUAACUGCUGAUUUGAAGGAGCAUCUGCCUGUGUAAAACAGGAAACAGAAAGAUUUAUGGGGGGGUGGAGACUUGGGUGGUUGUGGAGUCUUGGGAUCAGAGAAGGCUUAAGUGCAUACAUAAAAAGGGAGCAGGAGGUUUGUCUCUGGAUGGAAGGAGAAGAUAGAAAUUACUAUUGGAGAGAUAAGUUGUUUCUCUGGGUCUGGUACCAAGCUGGAUGGAUGUAAUCGUACAGAUAGCUAAGCCCUAGGCUAGCAGAACCUAUCAGAGGACAAAACAGGAACAUUUUAUGUCAAUCACUGUUCUAAAGAUAUAUCGUGACAAAAUAACCUGGAAUGUCCAAGCAACUGUGGUUUGGCCCUAUUUCCUCACUGAAUCUCUUCUCCACCUUUGAUAUCCUCAAAGAAACUAAAGUGCUCACAGUUACUUUUGCAGCAAAAAAAAAAAAAAAAAAAAAAAAAAAAAAACAGGGUUAGGAAAAAUUUCCCAAAGCCCAGUUUCAUCAAAAUGCAAUUCAUGUUUAAUAGCUGUGCUUCAGUGAUUACAGGCUCCUGGGUAAAUUGUUCAUGAUUUUCAUAUAGUGUGCUUUAAAUGCAUGCAGGGGGUGCCUCCCUCCCCUCCCCCGCUUCCCAGUUCCACAUAUCUUUUGGUACCUGAAGUGACCAUAUCACUUUUAUUCUUCUCAUAGAUGAUAGAAAAACGUUUUAUUUCUUUGGCUUUUAAGAUGUUCUUUAUAUGUUUUGGCACAUUUUAGCAAUUUAGGAACAGAAAAAGAAAGCAUUCACUAAUAUAGUAUAUUUGCAAAUAGGUACAUAUACUAGCUUUGCAUAAUAUUACUAGGAAUCAAAAUCAAAAGGUUUAAUUUACAGAAUGAAUGACUGCAUAAUGCAGUCUUUAAAUAUACACAUACAGUUUUCUAAAAAUGAAAAGCAACUUGGGAACCACUUUUUUUCAGUUUUGCAUAAAUUCCUUAGAAGCUUUCAUAAACUCAUCCUUCUUUCUCAAGGUAAUUGUGUUUAAAAAAACAUGUAAAAAGCUCAAUAAUUGAUCUGUAUAGACUUAAAUGGAAACAAUUUACAUUUGUUCAUCAGGUAGGAUGUGAAGGGAGGUGCAGGUUGUAAAUGCAUAAAGAUGAUUGAGGCAUUUAUUAUAAUUGGAAGAAUAAUGUUAAUGGGGAAACUUUCUGAUAUUCAUGUGAUUUGUUUUUGUAGAACAACAUAAAUUAAUGUGCUCAGUGUUUGAUUGUGAGGGUUGUUUCAUUCUGACAUGGCACUUUCAGUUUUACUACUAAAUCAAAAUUCAAUAUUAAGUUGUAAAAUAGAAUUCCAAAUUUGUUAUUUUGAAAAUAUAGUUUAUUAUUAUGAAAAUAAUGACAUAGCCAGUCGCUGAUUUCUCUGGACAUGACAGACUUUCCACAGGAGUCAUAAAAUGUUCAUAAUCACAAAUCUGCUCUGGAAAUCCUAAUAAAAACUUGGGAGUGUGGAA
Molecule: long non-coding RNA, 2787 nt
Organism: Cavia porcellus (domestic guinea pig)
Lineage: Eukaryota; Metazoa; Chordata; Mammalia; Rodentia; Caviidae
Exons: 2
Source: RefSeq, a predicted model, not a curated record